AUGAUCGAAGAGAGGAAGGCGGCGCUCGAGGAGAAGAAUGCCACGCUUGAGAAAAAGAGGGUGAAGAUCACCGCCAAUGCGGAGGACGCGAAGAUGUUAACCUUGAAUAUCAACUCUUUGGAUGCCGAUGCUAGAAGGAUUGUGCAAUCCACCCGCUACCACAUGCUGGAGCGGAAAAAGAUGAGUUGGCGGCGAUGGAAGAUGAGGAUGCAGCGAAGGUGGAGGUGGACGCGGUCGCGGAGGCUGCCUAUGCGGCGGCGACGACACCUCCUUGCCGGGAAGCAUCUUGCUGGGAUGGUCGGUCCAGCAAGGUAG
This 315-nucleotide ribosomal RNA is filed under the name Triticum aestivum (bread wheat). RNAcentral's name for it is "partial small subunit ribosomal RNA". Lineage: Eukaryota; Viridiplantae; Streptophyta; Magnoliopsida; Poales; Poaceae. The record is from RNAcentral.